GUUCUUAGUCUUUUCUUGAGCUUCCAAAUGAGAAAAUAUCCUCAAAUUUCAUCUAAAAAGACCUUGAUCUUUUAUUGAGCUACCAAUCAAGAACCCUAAUCCUCAAAUCCUCCUUCAAACCGCACUAGACUUUGCCUAUUUCUGCAAUUUUUUUCCAAAAAUCGAAGAGGCGGGACCACAAUCUUCUAAAAUUUAUUUGACAUGUUAGAUGUGGAGGAACAAGAUGAAGGUUGGAACUUCUUUUUUUUUUUAAGGAUUUUUUGUCCGUAUUCAAAAUCUUUUUUUCUGUAAUCAAAAUAUUGCUUCAUUUUUAACUUUUUACCAGGUGAAGCUGAAUCACAAGAAGUUACUUGAUGGAAUGCUGGCUUUAUGUGGGUCCCACAAAAAAAUUUAGAUUCUUUUAAAGUUCCAACUUUCUAGUUCAGAUUAUUCUAAAGUUACUCUAUUCGGCAUUACUUUCAUAAUGAAACUAGUUGGUAUUAAUGAAACUAGUUGGUAUACUUUUGAUUGUUUAUUUAUGAUUAUAGGUAAAUGAUAGAGUUAUCUAGGAAGGAGUUCUAGGAUUCAGGAUUAAAUAAAGUAGUAUUGGGAUUUUGUUGGUUGUGUUCUAUUGUUUUUAUGGUGAUAUAUAAUUCCUUUCAAUGACAUUUACACUUUUUGUCUAUGAAUAUGUAUAUGGGUUGCUUCCCAUGGCAAUUUUCAAUAUAAUAUUUGGUUUUCGCUCAAAAGGGAAAAAAAUUACUCUGGAAUCGGAUGAGACAUUCAAAUAGAUUUCCAUGUCAUAUUAAUCUAAACCUUUAAGUAAACAGAAAUUAAGACCCCCAAAUUUGAGCAAAAUAUAUUCUAGAGAAUGAGAGUCUUUCCAUAGAGCUCAUCCGUGUUGGGAGAAUCGAAAAUUCUCUUUUGCAAUAUUGGUUUUGCAGUUUGUUGUUACUUUGGAGGACUAUUGGAGUCCAUGGAGGGAGGGUAGACUAAAUAUAAAUCUUUAACUUGAGUAUGUGUUGCUUGAACUUGUCUAGCAGUAUUCAACACAAUCCUCCUCUUUCAUUUGGGCUUUUUCUCCUUCGGUUUUGGGAGGGUUUUAGAUGUUUUUUGCAAGUUUUAUUUUAUUUAUUUUUUAUUUUUAUUUUUGCACUUGAGGUCCUUUCGGUCCUUUAAGUAUAAAUUAAAUCAUAAUGGUCCAAAUGGUGCUACCAAUAAAUAGAAUGACCAUUAGCGAAACAAUCCUAAAACUUCAAUGACCAUUUCUGAAAGUUUGCAAUUUUAGUGACCGUUUUGAAAUUUUUAGGUAAGUUUAGUGACCGUUUGUGAAAUUAACCCAAAAAAUAUUACUAAAAAAUUGUCUAUAAAAAUCUUUAAAAGACCCAACUUAGCCCCCGUUUGAUCCCCAUUAAAUUAAAUUACAUUACAUUCUAUUUUUUUCUCACCUAUAUUCAAUCACACAAUCUUCUAUAAAAUAAUAUUACACGUAAAUCGAAAAAUUUUCUUUUUUUCAACUAUUUAUUUUUAUAAAAAAUAUUAUUCCCCCAUUUUCAUUUUCAAAUAACGGGGGUCAAACAGGGCUUAAUACCCUCUCAAAUUAGUUCUUCUUUCGAAUAUAGCAGCUGUUUCAAGGCACACUUUGUACCCCAGCAGAUCUUGAAUUUUAUCAUAUAGCGAUCGAGAAUAUCACCAAUUUUCUCACUCAAAAUGGUAAAAUUUCAUAAAAUCUAUAGAUAUUUCUUGUUCUUUUGAAAAUUUCCUACUUUAUUGAAUAUUCCAAUUGCUUCUUGUUGUUCAUCUAGUGUUUGAUUUGAUAUGAUGUAGCUGUUCUUCUCGUACUUCAAGGAUUUGGUGGGUCGAGAAGUGACCGUGGGGUUGAAGAACGAUUUAGCAUUAAGAGGUACAUUACACUCUGUGGAUCAGUACCUCAACAUUAAGCUCUAAAACACUCGGGUUUUUGAUCAAGAUAAGUACCCCCACAUGGUAUUCCCUCUUUCUUCCUCACUUUAGGGUUUUGGAUUUUUUAUAAAGGAAAUUUAAUAAUAAGUUCCAACUUCCAAAGCAUCGAUGGAAACUGAAAACUUAAAAUGUUCUUAUGAUAAGCUUUCUUUUUUUAGUCAAUUUUUAUACAUGUCUAUUUUGUUGAAUGACUGCAUUAUCUGUGCUCUAAAUGCCAUUUAGGUAAAGAUUUCUCUUGAUUAGAAGUUGAGAGUUUUAUUUAUAUAAUAUGUUUCAUUUUUAAGAUGUAUGGUCCUUGGAUUUGCUAUUGUUUGGAAUUUGUUGUGCCUACUUGAUGAAAUAUGAAGGGUUAUGUAAAUCUAAUAUGGCAAUUUGGGUUUCAAAUUUUAUAGGAAUAUACCUGUUUACGAAAUUCUAUGUAAUAGAAAGGUGUUGUGAGGAAUUUGAAUAUUUAUGUAUGAUUUCCAUUCUGUUUGAUGAUUUUUAUUUUAGUCCACCACCAAGACGGUAAAUUUAUUAAUACUAGAACAUAAAGUAUAAUACCACCCACAAUACCCUUUUUGAUUAUUGAAUUAUCUGGUGGAGUAUUGGAACCUCCAUUCUUAUUGCAAAUGUGCAACUACUACACUUACCUUUCACUUGAUAAUUCAAAAAUGAUAGAAGAAAUGACUGUUGGAAGGAGAUCAUUGAACCGCGUGUCGGGUUGAGUGAUUGUGUAAGUGUAUGACUAUAUUUAAUAUGAAAAAGAUGAGAAAAAGAGUAAAGGUAUAGAGACAAAGUGAUAGAGAAGGAGAGGGAAAGUGUAAAUAAUUGGUGAGGGAUAGUCCAAUGUUGAGUUUAACUCCUAUUUAUAGUGCAAGUUCUAGGACCAUGUGUAGAAAGUUGAAAGGAAAUGAUUAGAUGUUAGGCAUGGUAAAAGCAUAAUUGGUGUAUUAUCUUGAAAGUUGUCAAAUCAAUACCUUUAAUCAUGUGAUCAAAUCAAUUGACUUGGCUUGAAUUUUAGUGUAAAUAAUGCAUGUGGUUAAAUCAAGUACCUUUAUUUAUUAGUCAAAGCAAUUACUUUGUUUAAAAUAUGGUAAAUAAUGCAUGUGAUCAAAUAAAUCAUAUCUAAUCAUGGUUAAUUGACAUAUUUACAUAUAAUUUUAUUUAACUUCCAAUUUAACUCUUCACUUAGGUCCUCAAAGAUUGGCUAGUAAUUAAUAAGGUCAUUUAACUAAAAUUUAACUCAAUCAAUAACCAAUAAAGUCAUUAGACUUUAAUAAUAACGCACUUAAGUCCUAAUUAUUAAUCUAACGACUAGUAAUAAAAAUUUAGGAUAUUAUAGGUAGGAUGCUGAAUAAUUUUGAAAUAUGAUUUUAGGUAUUUAUUUCGAGGAAACGUGACUAUGAAUUGUACAAUACCUCUGAUUCCUGGACUUAAAUUAAUGAAACUUCAAAUGUAAGGAUUAGCGGUUGGUAAUAGAGAUGAGUUUCUAGUUCAAUUGAAGCAUAUGGAAGAAAAAUGUUUUAUCUUUUGAAUCUAAUCGUUCAUUUCAUUUUGGAUUUCUAGUGAUCAUUUGACUUCUAUACUGUUUUUCCAACCAGUGGAGUUUAUUUAUCAUUCCAAAGUUAACGCCACUACACAAUCCAUCCAACCUCACUCACAUAAAUAACAGAAUAAAAAGAAAUGCAAAAAUGUUAUACCUUCUCUAUUUAAUCCUUUGAAAAAUAAAUCUUAUUCUAACAUUAACUAUAAUCCAAUCUACAGUGGACUGACUACCUUUAAUUCAUCCUUUAUUGAUCAUCAGUGUACAUUUCUCUUACUUCCUUUACCCUUCCUUCCCAAAUUCUUGUAGAACUCGGGAGCAUGUCAUGUUUAGACCUGUACUAUGGAUAAGGCUUGAGGCACCAUUAAAUCGAAUAUGUUAUUUGUUAAUGGGAUCUGCAGCACGUGAGGGUGGGUGAUUACCUAGUAUGUUGUUUCCCAUGCAUUUUAAGGUUUAUAUAAUUAGUUUGUUCUUUGCACCUUGUAUUCGUUGUUACCUUUUGAGCUUGAGUAUGGACAUUAUUUAUUCAUGCAUUCUAUUGAUGGUGUAUUUUAGUGAAACCACUAUUCAGUAAUUCAUUGUCAAUUGGACGUGUUAUCGCAGGUAUGCCUGAUCUUUCACUUUCUUUUAUCCUUUUUGUCGUUCUAUUGUGUUGUGCUCCCAACACUUCUAAAUCUACAUUAAAGUAAAGAGAUUCUCCAUACAACUUGUGGUAUAUUGUUUUUUUACUGGGAUUUGAGCUGGUGAGAUGUAAUGCUAAAAAUUGCUUGCAUAAUACUCGAAUGAUUUUUUCUUGGAGUUUUUGGUGGUUUGGUUGUGAACGUAAUUGCUUUUCAAGCUAAUACGAACAUUCUCAUCUACAUGCGUGUAUCUGCCGAAUUAACUUUCUAUUUACCCCUUUUUGGUCCUUGCUUCACUGCAUACUUUUCGCAAUGUUUGUGGGAGUAUAUGCUUCUUUGCCAAGCUUUAAAGUUCGCCUACUAGUAAUUAGUUUUAGAAUAAAUAGCAGAAAAGGGUUUAAACAGCUUUCAAGUGUUGAAGUCGAUAGUUAAAUUGUCCAUCCCGACAGUUAGUAAAUGUCGAGCUCGACAGUUCACAUGUCUAACCCGACAUUUUUUACGACACUAU
RNAcentral lists this long non-coding RNA (4594 nucleotides) under Olea europaea subsp. europaea. The record is from RNAcentral. Lineage: Eukaryota; Viridiplantae; Streptophyta; Magnoliopsida; Lamiales; Oleaceae.